CCUACGGGUGGCAGCAGUAGGGAAUCUUUCACAAUGGGCGAAAGCCUGAUGGAGCAACGCAGCGUGCAGGAUGAAGGCCUUCGGGUUGUAAACUGCUUUUAUAAGCGAGAAAUAUGAUGGUAACUUAUGAAUAAGGAUCGGCCAAUUACGUGCCAGCAGCCGCGGUCAUACGUAGGAUCCGAGCAUUAUCCGGAGUGACUGGGUGUAAAGGGUUGCGUAGGUGGCAUAAUAAGUAGCUAGUGGAAUCUGGUGGCUCAACCAUUCAAACUAUUAGCUAAACUGUUAGGCUCGAGACCGUUAGUGGUAACUGGAAUUUCUAGUGUAGGGGUGAAAUCCGUAGAUAUUAGGAGGAACACCAAUUGCGUAGGCAGGUUACUGGGACGGUUCUGACACUAAGGCACGAAAGCGUCGGGAGCAAACAGGAUUAGAUACCCCGGUAGUC
Molecule: ribosomal RNA, 442 nt
Filed under: uncultured bacterium
Lineage: Bacteria
Description: partial 16S ribosomal RNA
Rfam family: Bacterial small subunit ribosomal RNA
Source: RNAcentral